RNAcentral lists this ribosomal RNA (254 nucleotides) under uncultured Oscillospiraceae bacterium. RNAcentral's name for it is "partial 16S ribosomal RNA". It matches the Rfam family "Bacterial small subunit ribosomal RNA", at positions 1127 to 1382 of the family's 1533-position model. Lineage: Bacteria; Bacillati; Bacillota; Clostridia; Eubacteriales; Oscillospiraceae. The record is from RNAcentral.
AAGUAGUGGAACUCUAAGAGACUGCCGGUGAUAAACCGGAGGAAGGCGGGGAUGAUGUCAAAUCAUCAUGCCCCUUAUGUUCUGGGCUACACACGUACUACAAUGGCUAAUACAGCGCGAAGCAAAACCGCGAGGUGGAGCAAAUCGCCAAAAUUAGUCCCAGUUCGGAUUGCAGGCUGCAACCCGCCUGCAUGAAGUCGGAAUUGCUAGUAAUGGCAGGUCAGCAUACUGCCGUGAAUACGUUCCCGGGCCUU